Molecule: transfer RNA, 117 nt
Filed under: Candidatus Bathyarchaeota archaeon
Lineage: Archaea; Thermoproteati; Candidatus Bathyarchaeota
Description: tRNA-Ser
Rfam family: tRNA
About the family: Transfer RNA (tRNA) molecules are approximately 80 nucleotides in length.
Source: RNAcentral
GCCGGGGUAUCCUAGCCUGGUAUGGAGCAGGCCUGCUAAGUCUGUGACCCUUCGGGUCUCACGGGUUCAAAGUUCUAAGAGGAACCUCUUGGGAUGAAAAUCCCGUCCCCGGCGCCA